This 474-nucleotide ribosomal RNA is filed under the name uncultured bacterium. RNAcentral's name for it is "bacterial SSU rRNA". It matches the Rfam family "Bacterial small subunit ribosomal RNA", at positions 915 to 1391 of the family's 1533-position model. The record is from RNAcentral.
GGGGACCCGCAAGCGGUGGAUGAUGUGGAUUAAUUCGAUGCAACGCGAAAAACCUUACCUACCCUUGACAUGUACGGAAGACCGAAGAGAUUUGGUUGUGCUCGAAAGAGAACCGUAACACAGGUGCUGCAUGGCUGUCGUCAGCUCGUGUCGUGAGAUGUUGGGUUAAGUCCCGCAACGAGCGCAACCCUUGUCAUUAGUUGCUACAUUUAGUUGAGCACUCUAAUGAGACUGCCGGUGACAAACCGGAGGAAGGUGGGGAUGACGUCAAGUCCUCAUGGCCCUUAUGGGUAGGGCUUCACACGUCAUACAAUGGUACAUACAGAGGGCCGCCAACCCGCGAGGGGGAGCUAAUCCCAGAAAGUGUAUCGUAGUCCGGAUCGCAGUCUGCAACUCGACUGCGUGAAGUUGGAAUCGCUAGUAAUCGCGGAUCAGCAUGUCGCGGUGAAUACGUUCCCGGGUCUUGUACACACC